Molecule: ribosomal RNA, 506 nt
Filed under: uncultured bacterium
Lineage: Bacteria
Description: partial 16S ribosomal RNA
Rfam family: Bacterial small subunit ribosomal RNA
Source: RNAcentral
AUUGAACGCUGGCGGCAGGCCUAACACAUGCAAGUCGGACGGUAGCACAGAGGAGCUUGCUCCUCGGGUGACGAGUGGCGAACGGGUGAGUAAUGUCUGGGGAUCUGCCCGAUAGAGGGGGAUAACCACUGGAAACGGUGGCUAAUACCGCAUAACGUCGCAAGACCAAAGAGGGGGACCUUCGGGCCUCUCACUAUCGGAUGAACCCAGAUGGGAUUAGCUAGUAGGCGGGGUAACGGCCCACCUAGGCGACGAUCCCUAGCGGGCCUGAGAGGAUGACCAGCCACACCGGAACUGAGACACCGUCCAGACGCCUACGGGAGGCAGCAGUGGGGAAUAUUGCACAAUGGGCGCAAGCCUGAUGCAGCCAUGCCGCGUGUAUGAAGAAGGCCUUCGGGUUGUAAAGUACUUUCAGCGGGGAGGAAGGCGAUGUGGUUAAUAACCGCAUUGAUUGACGUUACCCGCAGAAGAAGCACCGGCUAACUCCGUGCCAGCCGCCGCAGUAA